GCUAGGCACAGUGGGUGUACCUGUAGUUCCCACCUACUCAGAGGCUGAGGAGGGAGGAUUAUUUGAGCCCUGUAGUUUCAGACCCAUCUGGGCAACAUAGUGAGACCCCAUCUCAA
RNAcentral lists this small RNA (116 nucleotides) under Marmota monax (woodchuck). The record is from RNAcentral. Lineage: Eukaryota; Metazoa; Chordata; Mammalia; Rodentia; Sciuridae.